This 253-nucleotide ribosomal RNA is filed under the name uncultured prokaryote. Its description in RNAcentral is "partial 16S ribosomal RNA". It matches the Rfam family "Bacterial small subunit ribosomal RNA", at positions 524 to 776 of the family's 1533-position model. The record is from RNAcentral.
GACAGGGGAUGCAAGCGUUAUCCGGAAUGAUUGGGCGUAAAGCGUCUGUAGGUGGCUUUUUAAGUCUGCCGUCAAAUCCCAGGGCUCAACCCUGGCCAGGCGGUGGAGACUACUAAGCUGGAGUACGGUAGGGGCAGAGGGAAUUUCCGGUGGAGCGGUGAAAUGCGUAGAUAUCUGAAGGAACACCAGUGGCGAAGGCGACUUUCUGGACCAAUACUGACACUGAGGCACGAAAGCGUGGGGAGCAAACAGG